UGGGGAAUAUUGGACAAUGGGGGCAACCCUGAUCCAGCCAUGCCGCGUGUGUGAAGAAGGCCUUUUGGUUGUAAAGCACUUUAAGCAGUGAAGAAGACUCCAUGGUUAAUACCCAUGGACGAUGACAUUAGCUGCAGAAUAAGCACCGGCUAACUCUGUGCCAGCAGCCGCGGUAAUACAGAGGGUGCAAGCGUUAAUCGGAAUUACUGGGCGUAAAGCGAGCGUAGGUGGCUUGAUAAGUCAGAUGUGAAAGCCCCGGGCUUAACCUGGGAACGGCAUCUGAUACUGUUAGGCUAGAGUAGGUGAGAGGAAGGUAGAAUUCCAGGUGUAGCGGUGAAAUGCGUAGAGAUCUGGAGGAAUACCGAUGGGGAAGGCAGCCUUCUGGCAUCAUACUGACACUGAGGUUCGAAAGCGUGGGUAGCAAACA
RNAcentral lists this ribosomal RNA (427 nucleotides) under uncultured bacterium. RNAcentral describes it as "partial 16S ribosomal RNA". It matches the Rfam family "Bacterial small subunit ribosomal RNA", at positions 355 to 774 of the family's 1533-position model. The record is from RNAcentral.